This 374-nucleotide ribosomal RNA is filed under the name uncultured eukaryote. RNAcentral's name for it is "partial 18S ribosomal RNA". It matches the Rfam family "Eukaryotic small subunit ribosomal RNA", at positions 592 to 975 of the family's 1831-position model. The record is from RNAcentral.
CAAUAGCGUAUAUUUAAGUUGUUGCAGUUAAAAAGCUCGUAGUUGGAUUUCGGUUAAGAGCGACCGGUCCGCCGUUUGGUGUGCACUGGUUGGUUUUAACUUCCUGUAGAGGACGUGCUCUGGGUUUAACGACCUGGACUCGGAGUCUACGUGGUUACUUUGAAAAAAUUAGAGUGUUCAAAGCGGGCUUACGCUUGAAUAUUUCAGCAUGGAAUAACACUAUAGGACUCCUGUCCUAUUUCGUUGGUCUCGGGACGGGAGUAAUGAUUAAGAGGAACAGUUGGGGGCAUUCGUAUUUCAUUGUCAGAGGUGAAAUUCUUGGAUCUAUGAAAGACGAACUUCUGCGAAAGCAUUUGCCAAGGAUGUUUNCAUUA